This 448-nucleotide ribosomal RNA is filed under the name Araneus albotriangulus. RNAcentral describes it as "partial 16S large subunit ribosomal RNA". It matches the Rfam family "Bacterial large subunit ribosomal RNA", at positions 1830 to 2601 of the family's 2925-position model. The record is from RNAcentral. Lineage: Eukaryota; Metazoa; Arthropoda; Arachnida; Araneae; Araneidae.
UUCUUAUUGAUUUUUAUAAUAAGUAUAGCCUGCUCAAUGAUAUUUUUAAUAGCCGCGGAAAUUUAACCGUGCUAAGGUAGCAUAAUCAUUAGUCUUUUAAUUAAAGACUCGUAUGAAAGGUAUUACAUUUUAAAAACUUUAUUAAAUAAUUUUUUUUAAAUUAAACUAAGAAUAAAAAUGUUCUUAUAAAAUAAAUAGACGACAAGACCCUUUUGAACUUUACUUUUGUUUAGCUGGGGCAGCUAAAAAAUAAUUAUCUUUUUAUUUUCCUUUUAAUAAAUAAACCAAUAUAAUUGAUUUAUAAAAAGUUACCAAAGGGAUAACAGCGUAAUAUUUUUUAAAAGUUCUUAUAUAAAAAAAUGAUUGCGACCUCGAUGUUGAAUUAAUGUUACUUUAUAAAUGCAAUAAUUUUUAUUAGUAGGUCUGUUCGACCUUUAAAUCAUUACAU